RNAcentral lists this ribosomal RNA (300 nucleotides) under uncultured Alteromonadales bacterium. RNAcentral describes it as "bacterial SSU rRNA". It matches the Rfam family "Bacterial small subunit ribosomal RNA", at positions 115 to 417 of the family's 1533-position model. Lineage: Bacteria; Pseudomonadati; Pseudomonadota; Gammaproteobacteria; Alteromonadales. The record is from RNAcentral.
GCUUGGGAAUCUGCCUAGUAGUGGGGGACAACCGUUGGAAACGACGGCUAAUACCGCAUACGCCCUACGGGGGAAAGCGGGGGCGUCUUCGGACCUCGUGCUAUUAGAUGAGCCCAAGUCGGAUUAGUUAGUUGGUGGGGUAAAGGCCUACCAAGGCGACGAUCCGUAGCUGGUUUGAGAGGAUGAUCAGCCACACUGGGACUGAGACACGGCCCAGACUCCUACGGGAGGCAGCAGUGGGGAAUAUUGCACAAUGGGCGCAAGCCUGAUGCAGCCAUGCCGCGUGUGUGAAGAAGGCCU